RNAcentral lists this ribosomal RNA (398 nucleotides) under uncultured bacterium. RNAcentral's name for it is "partial 16S ribosomal RNA". It matches the Rfam family "Bacterial small subunit ribosomal RNA", at positions 523 to 918 of the family's 1533-position model. The record is from RNAcentral.
AUACGGAGGAUCCGAGCGUUGUCCGGAAUUACUGGGCGUAAAGAGCUCGUAGGUGGUUUGUCGCGUCGUCUGUGAAAUUCCGGGGCUUAACUCCGGGCGUGCAGGCGAUACGGGCAUAACUUGAGUACUGUAGGGGAGACUGGAAUUCCUGGUGUAGCGGUGAAAUGCGCAGAUAUCAGGAGGAACACCGGUGGCGAAGGCGGGUCUCUGGGCAGUAACUGACGCUGAGGAGCGAAAGCAUGGGUAGCGAACAGGAUUAGAUACCCUGGUAGUCCAUGCCGUAAACGGUGGGCGCUAGGUGUAGGGGUCUUCCACGACUUCUGUGCCGUAGCUAACGCAUUAAGCGCCCCGCCUGGGGAGUACGGCCGCAAGGCUAAAACUCAAAGGAAUUGACGGGG